UGAUUACAGAAAAUUGCACUGCUGUUUGGGAUUAACUGCACUAAAAUCAACCAAUCACAGUCGAGUAAUAUCUUUAUGUAUAUUAUUAAGUGCUAAAUAUAUGUAGGAUGGAUUAUGAAGUACAUGACAGCACGGCAAUAACACAAAACAUAUUUCAAACUAGUUGGAAUUUGUAAAAUGUUCUAUGCUGUAUGCUGUACAAAAUAAAUACACUAACUAAACGAGGGGUACAGUUCUGGAACGUUAACAAGGGGGGCUUUUGUUCACUACAAUACAUUGUCUGGAAUAUUAGAGGGGGGAGUCGGUGACAACAUGACUAUAACUUGGGAAUUCCAAUUUGUAUUUCUGCUUGUAGUAAACCUGUAAUUAACAUUGAACAGUGUUUGUUUCAAAUGAGGAAAGGAUUUAAGUUACUAUAAUUAUCAAAAGGGAAAACCGCGGUCCUUCCUCUCACCCAAAAGUUCAAGUUUUCGUUUCAAAACAUUCAGUAAUGCGGGUACAUCCAUGACGUCGUGAAAUCAACAACAUAUGACUAGUCUGCGGGAAAUUGUUAAACAUUAGCUAUUAAUAAUUUUACAUUUUAGAAGUCGCAUUCCUGAAUGUUUUAACACGAAAAUAAGACACGAUUUCGAAAAUAAGACACGAUUUUUCGAACGAGAGGAAGGAAUAUGCCUUGAAAGUAACAGCGGUGUUCAAUGAUCAGGCAGUGAUUACCAAAAUCAUCGUUGGAGGCGACUAAAAUCUUAUUACGACUUCAAUUCCAAAGAAUUUAUGCAAUCUGAGAAAAAUAUAUGACACCACAAGCAUUGUGUAAAACUUGACAUGCCUACUAAAAUACAAUGUGUCAAUGCAUGGGAGGUAUAAUCAAAUACGUAUUCAUGAAUGAAUUUAAAAACAGAAAAAUCAUAUACAUUACAUGCAUGCAGUGUUGGCCGAUUACUCUGCUUACGACAUUUUCUUACUUAUCUUAUGACGUUUUCUUACUUAUCUUUAAUAUGACGUUUUCUUACUUAUCGUAUGACGUUUUCUUACUUAUUUAUGACGUUUUCUUACUUAUCUUAUGACGUUUUCUUACUUAUCGUAUGACGUUUUCUUACUUAUCUUAUGACGUUUUCUUACUUAUCUUACUUACUCAAACUAAGGUAAGGCAGACCAAUCGCAAAAGUGUAAAAUAACUUACUCAACACUUCAGAAAGGUCAAACUGAUUCUAGCUUUCUUAUUUUAUUUCUAUAGUUCUUUAAUGUUUAUUUAAUUCAGCAAGUGUUUUCUUCCUGCUACCAUUACUUUCUUAUCAAAAACAGGAAGUUGGAUCUUGGUGUUAUGUUGAUAAAAUGGGUUCAUCAUUACCU
Molecule: long non-coding RNA, 1350 nt
Filed under: Paramuricea clavata
Lineage: Eukaryota; Metazoa; Cnidaria; Anthozoa; Malacalcyonacea; Plexauridae
Source: RNAcentral